UACGUAGGGUGCAAGCGUUGUCCGGAAUUAUUGGGCGUAAAGAGCUCGUAGGCGGUUCGUCGCGUCGGCUGUGAAAACCUGAGGCUCAACCUCAGGCCUGCAGUCGAUACGGGCGGACUUGAGUUCGGCAGGGGAGACUGGAAUUCCCGGUGUAGCGGUGAAAUGCGCAGAUAUCGGGAGGAACACCGGUGGCGAAGGCGGUUCUCUGGGCCUUACCUGACGCUGAGGAGCGAAAGCGUGGGGAGCGAACAGG
RNAcentral lists this ribosomal RNA (253 nucleotides) under uncultured bacterium. RNAcentral describes it as "partial 16S ribosomal RNA". It matches the Rfam family "Bacterial small subunit ribosomal RNA", at positions 524 to 776 of the family's 1533-position model. The record is from RNAcentral.